RNAcentral lists this ribosomal RNA (449 nucleotides) under uncultured bacterium. RNAcentral's name for it is "partial 16S ribosomal RNA". It matches the Rfam family "Bacterial small subunit ribosomal RNA", at positions 329 to 792 of the family's 1533-position model. The record is from RNAcentral.
AACCAGACUCCUACGGGAGGCAGCAGUGGGGAAUAUUGGGCAAUGGGCGCAAGCCUGACCCAGCAACGCCGCGUGAAGGAAGAAGGCCCUCGGGUUGUAAACUUCUUUUAUCAGGGACGAAACAAAUGAUGGUACCUGAUGAAUAAGCCACGGCUAACUACGUGCCAGCAGCCGCGGUAAUACGUAGGUGGCAAGCGUUAUCCGGAUUUACUGGGUGUAAAGGGCGUGUAGGCGGGUCUGCAAGUCAGAUGUGGAAUUCCAGGGCUCAACCCUGGAACUGCAUUUGAAACUGUAGUUCUUGAGUACUGGAGAGGCAGACGGAAUUCCUAGUGUAGCGGUGAAAUGCGUAGAUAUUAGGAGGAACACCAGUGGCGAAGGCGGUCUGCUGGACAGCAACUGACGCUGAGGCGCGAAAGCGUGGGGAGCAAACAUGAUUAGAUACCCGAGUA